UUUUGUACAAUGUCGGCAAAAAAAUCCAGUCUUGGGAAGCGUUUUUCCGGUGAUGGACAACCAUCUAAUCCAGAGCAUGAAGACGGCACGAGCCAUAAAGUUUGCCAUGGAAGAGUUCCUGCGACAAGUGAUGGAAAGGCUAAUGACCUCAGCAUUUUCUGUGAACAUCCGACCUAAAUUUAUCUCCAUUGCGGAAAUUUUGGUCGUUUCAACCUUGAUGGGCCCGACAACUAAAUUUCGAAUACGCACCAAUAUACUGAACCAGGAAAUUUGUAUGCUGUUUCCCUAAGCGGACCAAGAGCUGGAAAAUUACCAGCAUUCGAGAUUUCUGUUGAAGGUCCAGUCCGGACCAGUCCGGAAUUUGAACGAACCCGUACAUUUUGCUGAAAAAGGCCUUUUCGAGCAUCUUGCUUGAUUGAUUGAUUUUUAAUAUUUAAACAGGAACAUCCAAUUUAGCCAAGGCUAGUUUAAAUGGAGU
Molecule: non-coding RNA, 478 nt
Organism: Paramuricea clavata
Lineage: Eukaryota; Metazoa; Cnidaria; Anthozoa; Malacalcyonacea; Plexauridae
Source: the annotation of a GenBank genome assembly